RNAcentral lists this ribosomal RNA (369 nucleotides) under uncultured organism. RNAcentral's name for it is "bacterial SSU rRNA". It matches the Rfam family "Bacterial small subunit ribosomal RNA", at positions 526 to 896 of the family's 1533-position model. The record is from RNAcentral.
CGGAGGGUGCGAGCGUUAUCCGGAAUUACUGGGUUUAAAGGGUGCGUAGGCGGCACAGUAAGUCAGGAGUGAAAGUUUGCGGCUCAACCGUAAAAUUGCUUUUGAUACUGCUGUGCUAGAAUUAGGAUGAGGUCAGCGGAAUGUGGCAUGUAGCGGUGAAAUGCAUAGAUAUGCCAUAGAACACCAAUUGCGAAGGCAGCUGGCUAGACCUAUAUUGACGCUGAGGCACGAAAGCGUGGGGAGCGAACAGGAUUAGAUGCCCUGGUAGUCCACGCCCUAAACGAUGCUCACUCGACGUAUGGCCCUUGAGGUUGUGCGUCCAAGGGAAACCGUUAAGUGAGCCACCUGGGGAGUACGACCGCAAGGUUG